This is a non-coding RNA of Podarcis lilfordi (Lilford's wall lizard), 69 nucleotides long. The record is from the annotation of a GenBank genome assembly. NCBI's taxonomy places the organism in Eukaryota, Metazoa, Chordata, Lepidosauria, Squamata, Lacertidae.
GAUGGCUUACUUGGUUAGAGUGUGGACCUGACAAAGCCAAGAUUGUAGGUUCGAUCCCUGUAAAGAACA